This 802-nucleotide long non-coding RNA is filed under the name Trifolium pratense (red clover). RNAcentral's name for it is "long non-coding RNA (TPRA_LNC013886)". The record is from RNAcentral. Lineage: Eukaryota; Viridiplantae; Streptophyta; Magnoliopsida; Fabales; Fabaceae.
CUGUCUCAAAGCAAGUGUGCAAGGUGGGUUAUGACAUCAAGCUCAAAUUUUUGAGGCCUUAAACUCAUAGUUAUACAAUGUUCAUAAAAUAUUAUAUUUGUACCAAUGGUCUAGUGGCAGAAGAUGGAUGGUAGUGAUGCAACAAGGUCCUCCCCUCUCAUACCACCUAUUCACCCCUUUGGGGCCUUUUAACUCCAUAUAUGUUAAAAAAUCUUCCAAAUUUUUCCGGUGGCCGCCGCAUCAGUGGAUUCAAAGUUUGUGUCUCUAUAUGUAAGGGCUGGUUGGUUGUUCGAGCAUCACCUCUUAAUUCCUUUUAGGGUUAGAAAGCCAUAACUAUCGUUUAACAAAUGUCAAUCAACCACAAUUGUCAUAUUUUGUGGCUGGUUGGAGCCGGGUCCGGUUAUGGUGCAUAAGCCCAAGAUAAUUGCUUAGCACACCCCGUCCAUUGCUUCGUACACCCCAAUAGAUCCCUCACCCACGUACGCAAGGUUCACAUUUCACAAAACAAAUUGCUCGUUCAUCAUCAAACAAAACUCGCUCCCUCUUCGCCGUCGCCAUUAACGCCUUCCAUCUUCAACGUCGCCGCCGUUCAUCAUCAGUUCAUCACAUUUCAUCAUCUUCACCGUCGCCAUCAUUCAAAACCAUUCAAUAUAGUUCAUCAUCAUUCACCAACAUAUACAUAAUUUGAACGAACCAAACACAAAAUGUUGAAAAGAAAACAGGUUAGAGCUAGAUUUUUACUUCGAUUUUGGGAAUUAGGUUUUAUUUUGGUUUGAUUAUUUUCUAAUUUCACAAGAUUAAA